GCAAAACGCGAAGAACCUUACCUGGGCUCGAAAUGCAGAGCGCGACACUAGAGAUAGUGUUUUCCGUAAGGAGUUUUGUAUAGGUGCUGCAUGGCUGUCGUCAGCUCGUGCCGUGAGGUGUUUGGUUAAGUCCAGCAACGAGCGCAACCCUUAUCGUUAGUUACCAGCGCGUAAUGGCGGGAACUCUAGCGAGACUGCCUAGGUUAACUCGGAGGAAGGUGAGGAUGACGUCAAGUCCGCAUGGCCUUUAUGUCCAGGGCUACACACGUGCUACAAUGGUCGAUACAGAAGGCAGCGAAACCGUGAGGUGAAGCAAAUCCUGAAAAGUCGAUCUCAGUUCAGAUUGUAGACUGCAACUCGUCUACAUGAAGUUGGAAUUGCUAGUAAUGGCGUGUCAGCAACAACGCCGUGAAUACGUUCCCGGGUCUUGUACACACCG
This 439-nucleotide ribosomal RNA is filed under the name uncultured bacterium. Its description in RNAcentral is "bacterial SSU rRNA". It matches the Rfam family "Bacterial small subunit ribosomal RNA", at positions 954 to 1392 of the family's 1533-position model. The record is from RNAcentral.